AUUGAACGCUGGCGGCAUGCCUAACACAUGCAAGUCGAACGAGUGGCGGACGGGUGAGUAAUAUAUCGGAACGUGCCUAAUAGCGCGGGAUAACUACUGGACACAGUGGCUAAUACCGCAUACCAUUAGACCUGCCGAGAUGGGACUAGCUAGUUGGUGGGGUACAGGCUCACCAAGGCGACGAUCCUUAGCUGGUAUGAGAGGAGGACCAGCAACACUGGAACUGAGACACGGCCCAGACUCCUACGGGAGGCAGCAGUGGGGAAUUUUGGACAAUGGACGAAAGCCUGAUGCAGCCAAGCCGCGUGUAUGAAGAAGUCCUUCGGGGUGUAAAGUACUAUUGGCAGAGAAGCGGUAUCUGCAGAAGAAGCACCGGCUAACUCCGUGCCAGCAGCCGCGGUAAUUC
Molecule: ribosomal RNA, 406 nt
Filed under: uncultured bacterium
Lineage: Bacteria
Description: partial 16S ribosomal RNA
Rfam family: Bacterial small subunit ribosomal RNA
Source: RNAcentral